Long non-coding RNA from Oxyura jamaicensis (ruddy duck), 1147 nucleotides. RefSeq lists it as uncharacterized. The record is from RefSeq and is a predicted model, not a curated record. The transcript is spliced from 4 exons. NCBI's taxonomy places the organism in Eukaryota, Metazoa, Chordata, Aves, Anseriformes, Anatidae.
UGCAUAACAAGAAGAAGGGGGCAGAGGUGGGGUGGGGAGGGAGAAAGUGGUGGUGUGACAUUUUCCAUCAGCUGAGGAUCUCAAUUUCUUACUUGUUCUUUGCCAAAGCAGGAAUCCCAGGCCACAAUAUUUAAUGUCUCUCUUCAGUACAAUGGCAUACUUCUCAAGAAGUCUGCAUUAAUUUUACUGCUUUUGCUAUGUUCAGCCACACCAUCCCCAAGGGUAGGUUAUCUGUUAACCCAAGUACCCUCUGUGCCUCUCCCCCAAACACUGUAUAAUUAAUCAUCCUGAAAGGUGGCAAAGAGGUAAACAACCAAUUUUUGUGUUGCAGAUGCUGCUGCUUUGUCAAAUAAUUGGUGCAAAGACACAUUAACUGUACAAGGGAGAUUCAUAUGUUUGUUCAUUCAUUCAUUCCACUAAGCUGUCCAUUAUUGGUUGUCCAGUAAGCUAUUUUAAGUAGACCACAUUUCAUUCACACCUAUAGAUGGAACUGCUUCAGAGCAUAGGAAGAGCCUUUGGGUAGUUUUCAUGGUGGUCCAAGAAAGAAGGGAUACCUCUGUUGAAGGAUCAUCUUUGCUCUCAUCUCAAGGAAUCUGCCGAUGAUUGUUGCUGGAGACAGAAGACUGUGAGUUGCUUCCCCAGGCCCUGUACAUGAGUGGUGGAUGGCAGACCCAUAGCCCAGACCUUCAGCCAUGCCAUUUCAGAGCUGCAGACACUGCACCCAAGUCAGCACCUUGGGCACUGAGAACAGGCUUCAACAAAGUACAAGGAUGGUGGGAAAAAUAUAAGCCACUGGGUACUGAAUGCUUUUUCAAAAUCUAAUAAUGAGCAUUACCAUAGCUAAAGUUAUACAGCCACUGUUCUGCCCGAAUUUUCUCUUUUUGAUAUGUCUUUUGUUACCACUUACAUCUGAGAAUACCCUGACAUAGAUUGCAGGGAAACAGAUUUCUGUUUCUUUUUCUAUUGACAUCAUUUGUUACUUUUUCUUGAUCCUAUGAAUUACAUCAGUUAGUAAUCAGCUUCCAAGCAACCACUUGUGAGAGUUUCUCAUGAAGCAGAAUAGAAAAAUAUUUUACCGUUUUUAUUGGUCUCACUUCAUAUAACUCUAGCUGUUUCAGAAUUAGAAAUGGACAGAGAGAGAGAGAGA